UGUGGUUGAACACUGUUGGACCAAAAUUCUCCAGCCAGCUUGCAAAGAGCAGUUGAAAUGAUACUAUGGCUUCAUUUCAGAAAAGCAAUUGUAAGGUAAGACAACUGCUAAAUUGCUAGCAUCUACUGCAUCAAGAUGACUUAAGAAUUAGGCCCAGGCCUGGGUUAUUAUCUCGUUAGAGUUGCAAUCUGAAGUCACAAUUAGAUUCUCCAGUUUCAGCUGUGACAUCUUUCUCAUCACUCACAGAAAACAGAUGUUUGACACUGGUAAAUCCUCAGAGGAUGAAGAUGUUUCUAAGUAGGUUUGCUGCUCAUGGGACCUUUCAGCCUGAAGAAAAAUGUUGUCAUUGUUGUCAUAAACAUUUCUCAAAACCUAAAAAGUGAGAA
Molecule: long non-coding RNA, 386 nt
Organism: Tympanuchus pallidicinctus (lesser prairie-chicken)
Lineage: Eukaryota; Metazoa; Chordata; Aves; Galliformes; Phasianidae
Exons: 3
Source: RefSeq, a predicted model, not a curated record